UACGGUAGGGUGCAAGCGUUGUCCGGAAUUAUUGGGCGUAAAGGGCUCGUAGGCGGUCUGUCGCGUCGGGAGUGAAAACUCGAGGGCUUAACCCUGAGCCUGCUUCCGAUACGGGCAGGCUAGAGUGCGGUAGGGGAGAAUGGAACUCCUGGUGUAGCGGUGGAAUGCGCAGAUAUCAGGAAGAACACCGAUGGCGAAGGCAGUUCUCUGGGCCGUAACUGACGCUGAGGAGCGAAAGACGUGGGGAGCGAACAGG
RNAcentral lists this ribosomal RNA (256 nucleotides) under uncultured bacterium. Its description in RNAcentral is "partial 16S ribosomal RNA". It matches the Rfam family "Bacterial small subunit ribosomal RNA", at positions 524 to 776 of the family's 1533-position model. The record is from RNAcentral.